Molecule: ribosomal RNA, 492 nt
Filed under: uncultured bacterium
Lineage: Bacteria
Description: partial 16S ribosomal RNA
Rfam family: Bacterial small subunit ribosomal RNA
Source: RNAcentral
AGUGAACGCUGGCGGUAGGCCUAACACAUGCAAGUCGAACGGCAGCACAGUAAGAGCUUGCUCUUACGGGUGGCGAGUGGCGGACGGGUGAGGAAUACAUCGGAAUCUACUUUUUCGUGGGGUAUAACGUAGGGAAACUUACGCUAAUACCGCAUACUACCUACGGGUGAAAGCAGGGGAUCUUCGGACCUUGCGCGAUUGAAUGAGCCGAUGUCGGAUUAGCUAGUUGGCGGGGUAAAGGCCCACCAAGGCGACGAUCCGUAGCUGGUCUGAGAGGAUGAUCAGCCACACUGGAACUGAGACACGGUCCAGACUCCUACGGGAGGCAGCAGUGGGGAAUAUUGGACAAUGGGCGCAAGCCUGAUCCAGCCAUACCGCGUGGGUGAAGAAGGCCUUCGGGUUGUAAAGCCGUUUUGUUGGGAAAGAAAAGCAGCAGGUUAAUACCCCGCUGUUCUGACGGUACCCAAAGAAUAAGCACCGGCUAACUUCGUG